CCAAGGUGCCAUUUCGUGAAGCACAUGUGAAGACGGUGAGAAGGGUGGGAGAAGAUAUUUUCUGAAACGCAACGUGAUGUAGACGCUGAAAAGAGCUGUGCAACAAGUGAUGGUGCAAGAACGGAAUAAUUGGAG
Long non-coding RNA from Sinocyclocheilus anshuiensis, 135 nucleotides. RefSeq lists it as uncharacterized. Lineage: Eukaryota; Metazoa; Chordata; Actinopteri; Cypriniformes; Cyprinidae. The record is from RefSeq and is a predicted model, not a curated record. The transcript is spliced from 3 exons.